UACGGGGGGGGCAAGCGUUGUUCGGAAUUACUGGGCGUAAAGCGUGCGUAGACGGCUAUCUAAGUCGGGUGUGAAAGCCCCGGGCUCAACCUGGGAAUUGCAUUCGAGACUGAAUAGCUAGGGUACGGUAGAGGGAAGCGGAAUUUCCGGUGUAGCGGUGAAAUGCGUAGAUAUCGGAAGGAACAUCAGUGGCGAAAGCGGCUUCCUGGACCAGUACCGACGUUCAGGCACGAAAGCGUGGGGAGCAAACAGG
Molecule: ribosomal RNA, 253 nt
Filed under: uncultured bacterium
Lineage: Bacteria
Description: partial 16S ribosomal RNA
Rfam family: Bacterial small subunit ribosomal RNA
Source: RNAcentral